AACAAAAUACAUCUCUUAGGACACUUAUUUAGGGACAUUAUUUAAUAAAUGUCGCAAUUACCAUAUAUUAGGAUACUUCUUAAUUUGCGUCCCUAUUAUUAAGGUUGUUGGGACACUUGUACCUCAAAUUAAUUAGCGGAACAAUUUUAUAGAUUUGGCGGUCCUCUUUUUAUUUUCAACAUAACCCAUAUUAAUAUAUUACUUUAUUUUUUAUUUUCUAUAGAAAUAAUAAUAUAUCACUUUAUUCUCUUAUUACUUGGUAUUGUCGAAUAUCAAAACAAUAUUCUAGGUUUUCAAUGUUCAAAGGCUAAUCUACACCGAAAGGAUAUCGGCGACUUCACUCCUCCGUCCAUGGCGUCACCAAAUUCUUCAAUUUGGUCGUCGACGAGUUUAGAAGAGCAAUUUGGGGAUCGAUUCACAAGGGUUGACUGAAGCUUCGAUGGAUGCGCACAAGACGUGCUCUGCCGAUUAACAAUCAUAGCACGAACUUUGGUUUGUGAGGUUACGGUUUUCCUUUGAGUUUUUCUCUUUCUGUUAAUGAAAUUUGAUUAGUAUUUGUACCAAAAACCUAAGAAAUAGAGUAGCACCUUUCAAUGGUCCAUGGAGGUUUAUGACUGCUUCUAAAUAGAGAAUGUUUUCGUUAUAAGAAUCAGAUUUAAUUCCUAAAUGUGUGACUUUUUUUUUUAUUCAAUUACUUAUUUAUUAACCGAUUUUAUAUAAGAAAUUGUUUAAAUUGUAAUCUAAAUAGCAUCACCAUGGCAAUUUAUCAUCCUAAUGAAGAAACCUUAGCCCUAAACCCCUGAUUUUGUAUUCUGAAAAUCAAUUUAUAAAAGUAUACCUCAUAUCCUAUAUUACUGCUUUGUGCCGUGGAUAGAUGAAUUGUGGGAGAAAAACAGGUGGUUGAUGAUUAGGUUCAUUGUCUAGGCAUUACAAUUGGUUAUUCAAUAUGAUUGUUCUUUAUGUUCUGCUUACUUCAGCUUUAAUUCGUAAAAAGUGCGCACUCUUAGUUGAAAGAUUCACAAUAUGGGUUAUCAACCAUGGUGAUUCGCUGCAGAUUUGCAGGCAAUCCUAACAAACAGGGACAAACACUAAGACAUGAUUGAUUUCCCAAAUGGCAGAGUCCCCUAUGUUCUGUUACAUCUGAUCAAGUUUGCUCUGAAUGGUAGAGAGUUUCGUUGAUUAAUGUGUCUAACUUUCACCUGAUUGUAAAAAAACUAGAGUUUUUUAAACUUUCUACUGUCCAUCAUAACUUCUUGAGUUUAACAUCCUCGACCAUAACUAGUCUAUUUGUUGCUUCUAUCUGCAUAGGCAUGCCACUAUUGGUGGCAUUAAUGUAUAAGAUUGAGGGGCAACCAGAGCCUUGUAUAUUUAUUUUUAUGUCUCGUAUCAUCUUACUUAAAUUACCUAUAUUAUGAGUUGUAAUGAGUUCAUUAGUUUGAAAAUUUUAGAAUAAAUUAUAUUAAAUAUCGUAAUAUGUUUUUUUGUUGAUUUUGUUCGCAAAGAUGAGUCUAACUUUUUUCUAUAUUUACCUUUUUCUGCAGGUCACAAUGUGAGAACACAAAAUUGAACAAUAGGUAAAGUCGUGAAAGUGCAACUAGGAGGUAUACUUUUACAAAUUUUAUAUGAUUCUUAAACUUCUUAACUUGUGUUUUUUUUGUGUACCGUUAUAAUAUAACUAUUACGCUAGAAUGCAAUCUCUAUGCGCAUAAAUUUAUUUAUUGUAGAAUUUUCUUAAAGAUCAAUCGACAUUUACAUGUCGCCAUUGAGUGUUAACUUUUAUCUCAAUAUUUGAGUGUGGUAUGCUCCCUUUCACGAUCAUUCUUUAUUUAUUAUCGUCCGAUGACUACAGAUAGUUUAUGUGAAGGAUGUAACUAAUCUAUUAGUUUCAUUGUCAACAUAUGUAUGUUAGCAACGUAUGGCACCAAACUCUGCAUGUUUACAAGAAUACUUCCGGACCUGAACGUGUAGAAAAAGAAGUCACACUUGGGAAAGAGCAAAGUCUUGAAAAGAAGGGAACAACUUUGAAGUACGAGAGUUACUUAUAGACUCAUGUAUAUGCUAUAGUAUUUCCAGUGAACAUUAGUUAGUAUAAUGUUAGCAUCUCAUAAGAACACAUUGAAAGAACAGUGUAUUUUUAAUGAAUGAAUUGCAUUUGACUACAA
Non-coding RNA from Erythranthe guttata (spotted monkey flower), 2162 nucleotides. The record is from RefSeq and is a predicted model, not a curated record. NCBI's taxonomy places the organism in Eukaryota, Viridiplantae, Streptophyta, Magnoliopsida, Lamiales, Phrymaceae.